RNAcentral lists this long non-coding RNA (276 nucleotides) under Elaeis guineensis (African oil palm). RNAcentral's name for it is "long non-coding RNA (EGUI_LNC014768)". The record is from RNAcentral. Lineage: Eukaryota; Viridiplantae; Streptophyta; Magnoliopsida; Arecales; Arecaceae.
GUUCUACUCCUUUCAAAGUUGUUCGUGUCACCCAUGUAAAAUUUGCAAUUAGACAUUUUUUUUUGUUGGGUACAAUGAAAGGCUACGUAGAAGGAAAAAUAAACCAAAGUGAGUAAUAGUACAGCACAGUCACUUUUAGACGCAUAUUAAUAUUAUACAGCACAAGGAGCUUUAAGAACGCUAACGGACAAAGCCAACACCCAUCCUAUCCGCUGCAAGAAUCUGAGCAAAUGCAGACGGAAGAAGAUCCCCAACAGUAAAAACACGAUCCACCCC